AGCCUCCCUCUGUGGGGUGAUCGAUCUGGGGACCCCACCAUUGAUUGCCCCACAGAGGGAGGCC
RNAcentral lists this microRNA precursor (64 nucleotides) under Myotis davidii. RNAcentral describes it as "mir-9242 microRNA precursor family". It matches the Rfam family "mir-9242 microRNA precursor family". The record is from Rfam by way of RNAcentral. Lineage: Eukaryota; Metazoa; Chordata; Mammalia; Chiroptera; Vespertilionidae.